RNAcentral lists this ribosomal RNA (468 nucleotides) under uncultured bacterium. Its description in RNAcentral is "partial 16S ribosomal RNA". It matches the Rfam family "Bacterial small subunit ribosomal RNA", at positions 355 to 809 of the family's 1533-position model. The record is from RNAcentral.
UGGGGAAUUUUGGACAAUGGGGGCAACCCUGAUCCAGCAAUGCCGCGUGUGUGAAGAAGGCCUUCGGGUUGUAAAGCACUUUUGUCCGGAAAGAAAUCGCCCUGGCUAAUAUCCGGGGUGGAUGACGGUACUGGAAGAAUAAGCACCGGCUAACUACGUGCCAGCAGCCGCGGUAAUACGUAGGGUGCAAGCGUUAAUCGGAAUUACUGGGCGUAAAGCGUGCGCAGGCGGUUGUGGCAAGACAAGAUGUGAAAUCCCCCGGGGUCUUAACCUGGGGAAUGGCAUUUGUGACUGCACGGCUAGAGUGUGUCGAGAGGGGGGUAGAAUUCCACGUGUAGCAGUGAAAUGCGUAGAUAUGUGGAGGAACACCGAUGGCGAAGGCAGCCCCCUGGGAUAACACUGACGCUCAUGCACGAAAGCGUGGGGGCAAAACAGGAUUGGAUACCCUGGUAGUCACGCCCUAAAGCG